GAUGAACGCUGGCGGCGUGCCUAAUACAUGCAAGUCGAGCGAACAGACGAGGAGCUUGCUCCUCUGACGUUAGCGGCGGACGGGUGAGUCACACGUGUAUAACCUACCUAUCAGACUGGGAUAACUUCGGGAAACCGGAGCUAAUACCGGAUAAUAUCUUGAACCGCAUUGUUCAAUAGUGAAAGACGGUUUUGCUGUCACUUCUAGAUGGAUCCGCGCCGCAUUAGCUAGUUGGUAAGGUAACGGCUUACCAAGGCAACGAUGCGUAGCCGACCUGAGAGGGUGAUAGGCCACACGGGAACUGAGACACGGACCAGACUCCUACGGGAGGCAGCAGUAGGGAAUCUUCCGCAAUGGGCGAAAGCAUGACGGAGCAACGCCGCGUGAGUGAUGAAGGUCUUGGGAUCGUAAAACUCUGUUAUUAGGGAAGAACAAAUGUGUAAGUAAAUAUGCACGUCUUGACGGUAACUAGUCAGAAAGCAACGGCUAACUACGUG
Molecule: ribosomal RNA, 497 nt
Filed under: uncultured bacterium
Lineage: Bacteria
Description: partial 16S ribosomal RNA
Rfam family: Bacterial small subunit ribosomal RNA
Source: RNAcentral